Molecule: non-coding RNA, 66 nt
Filed under: human gut metagenome
Description: Cyclic di-GMP-I riboswitch
Rfam family: c-di-GMP-I riboswitch aptamer
About the family: GEMM was predicted in a large-scale screen for bacterial structured RNA regulatory elements.
Source: RNAcentral
CGGCAAACCCGUUGUGAGGCGGGGACGCAAAGCCAUGGAACUUUAAUACAAAGUCAGCCAGGUUGC